This 74-nucleotide transfer RNA is filed under the name Phycisphaerae bacterium. RNAcentral describes it as "tRNA-Arg". It matches the Rfam family "tRNA". From Rfam's summary of the family: Transfer RNA (tRNA) molecules are approximately 80 nucleotides in length. Their secondary structure includes four short double-helical elements and three loops (D, anti-codon, and T loops). The record is from RNAcentral. Lineage: Bacteria; Pseudomonadati; Planctomycetota; Phycisphaerae.
GCCCGCGUAGCUCAGCAGGAUAGAGCGCUGGUUUCCUAAACCGGAGGUCACAGGUUCGAAUCCUGUCGCGGGUA